RNAcentral lists this ribosomal RNA (244 nucleotides) under uncultured bacterium. Its description in RNAcentral is "partial 16S ribosomal RNA". It matches the Rfam family "Bacterial small subunit ribosomal RNA", at positions 96 to 334 of the family's 1533-position model. The record is from RNAcentral. RNAcentral also lists the same sequence under 1 other name.
CGGCGGACGGGUGAGUAACACGUAGGUAACCUACCUAUAAGACUGGGAUAACUUCGGGAAACCGGAGCUAAUACCGGAUAAUAUUUCGAACCGCAUGGUUCGAUAGUGAAAGAUGGCUUUGCUAUCACUUAUAGAUGGACCUGCGCCGUAUUAGCUAGUUGGUAAGGUAACGGCUUACCAAGGCAACGAUACGUAGCCGACCUGAGAGGGUGAUCGGCCACACUGGAACUGAGACACGGUCCAG